ACGGUCCUAAGGUAGCGAAAUUCCUUGUCGGGUAAGUUCCGACCCGCACGAAAGGCGUAAUGAUUUGAGCGCUGUCUCGACAAUGCAUCCGGUGAAAUUGAAGUACCAGUGAAGAUGCUGGUUACCUGCGCCAGGACGGAAAGACCCCAUGGAGCUUUACUCCAGCUUGAUACUGGGAUUCGGUAAUGCAUGCACAGGAUAGGUGGGAGGCUACGAGUACGGAACUCCGGUUUCGUAUGAGCCGCUGUUGGGAUACCACCCUUGCGUUACUGGGUUUCUAACCAUGGUCCAUGAUCUGGAUCGGGGACAAUGUCAGGUGGGGAGUUUGACUGGGGCGGUCGCCUCCGAAAGGGUAUCGGAGGCGCUCAAAGGUUCCCUCAGAAUGGUUGGAAACCAUUCGAAGAGUGCAAAGGCAGAAGGGAGCUUGACUGCGACACCGACGGGUGGAGCAGGUACGAAAGUAGGACUUAGUGAUCCGGUGGUAUAAAGUGGGAUUGCCAUCGCUCAACGGAUAAAAGCUACCCUGGGGAUAACAGGCUUAUCACUCCCAAGAGUUCACAUCGACGGAGUGGUUUGGCACCUCGAUGUCGGCUCAUCGCAUCCUGGGGCUGUAGUAGGUCCCAAGGGUUGGGCUGUUCGCCCAUUAAAGCGGUACGCGAGCUGGGUUCAGAACGUCGUGAGACAGUUCGGUCCCUAUCCGGCGCGGGCGGAGGAUAUUUGAGAGGAGCUGUCCUUAGUACGAGAGGACCGGGAUGGACGGACCACUGGUGUAUCUGUUGUCGACCAACGGCAUGGCAGAGUAGCCAAGUCCGGAAGGGAUAAACGCUGAAGGCAUCUAAGCGUGAAGCCCCCCUCAAGAUGAGAUAUCCCAUUCGAAAGAAGUAAGACCCCUUGAAGACGACGAGGUAGAUAGGGCAGAGGUGGAAGUGCCGUAAGGCAUGGAGCUGACUGUUACUAAUCGGUCGAGGGCUUGACCUA
Molecule: ribosomal RNA, 978 nt
Filed under: human gut metagenome
Description: bacterial LSU rRNA
Rfam family: Bacterial large subunit ribosomal RNA
Source: RNAcentral